Molecule: unclassified non-coding RNA, 280 nt
Filed under: Hevea brasiliensis (rubber tree)
Lineage: Eukaryota; Viridiplantae; Streptophyta; Magnoliopsida; Malpighiales; Euphorbiaceae
Source: RNAcentral
AGGGUAAGGUGCAUGAUGAGAGAAAAAACCAUGUAGGUCUGGAUUCAUGCAAGCUUGGAACAGGACAGGUUCUGUAAUAGAAGCAUGUGCUUACGCAGAAUCGGGACAGGCAUAAAUUAGGAGGAUAGGAAGCAACUGUCAUUGUCUAUCCCAUAUUGCAAUGUAUUGGUUUGAUACAAACCAUGAGAAUAGGGAAACCUGAAUUUAUUGCUGCCCACUGGAACCUUCAAUAUUUCGUCUAUACCUCUCACUGCCUGCUUGUUAUGAUCUGGAUCCUCUU